AGUAUUCUUUCUCGUGUUGUGGAGUAGAGGUGAAUUUCACAAACUUCGAUGGUUAAAACAUGUUCUAUCUCAGUAAUUUAACGUGAAGUGAUGAUGACAAUAAUCAACAAUAUCAUAAAGGUGUUAAAUCUCAGAAUUAAAUGCCGUUGGUGAGCUUGUCAAGGCACCUGAUUAAUCUUGCACUGGUGCCCGAUUGGACUCUCAAUAUAGCGCCAGAUGGAAGUCGUAAUUAUGCUUCAUCGUUCACGCUGCUGUGCCUGAUGGCUUUGCUAUGACACCUGAUGAGUUUCGCUAUAGCGCUUGGAGAUACGAAAACCACAAGGAUCUAGGAUACAAAGACCUAGGAUACAGGAUUCUAGAAUACAAGGAACUCAAGUACGUUGAAUGGAGGGCCACAAUGGCACCCAGGCCACAAACCUUAUGUCUGACUGGCAAGACUGGCUGCAAGCCGCAGAGGAUUGAGUUGGAAAUCGAUAAGUACAUUUUUACAUCAUUAUUUUCGAAAAUUAUUGAUUAUUAUUGCUUUCAUCAUUAUCAUCAUGAUGGCAAAGUAACAAA
Parasteatoda tepidariorum (common house spider) is the source of this 558-nucleotide long non-coding RNA. RefSeq lists it as uncharacterized. NCBI's taxonomy places the organism in Eukaryota, Metazoa, Arthropoda, Arachnida, Araneae, Theridiidae. The record is from RefSeq and is a predicted model, not a curated record.